RNAcentral lists this ribosomal RNA (253 nucleotides) under uncultured bacterium. RNAcentral describes it as "partial 16S ribosomal RNA". It matches the Rfam family "Bacterial small subunit ribosomal RNA", at positions 524 to 776 of the family's 1533-position model. The record is from RNAcentral.
GACGGAGGAUGCAAGCGUUAUCCGGAAUGAUUGGGCGUAAAGCGUCCGCAGGUGGCAGUUCAAGUCUGCUGUCAAAGACCGGGGCUUAACUUCGGAAAGGCAGUGGAAACUGAACAGCUAGAGUAUGGUAGGGGCAGAGGGAAUUCCUGGUGUAGCGGUGAAAUGCGUAGAGAUCAGGAAGAACAUCGGUGGCGAAGGCGCUCUGCUGGACCAUAACUGACACUCAGGGACGAAAGCUAGGGGAGCGAAUUGG